GGAGAGGAAGAUGUGAUGAAGUGCUGGAAAAUCUACUCUGGGCGUGUGUGCUGUUUCCAGAUAGUAGGGCAUUAUGUUCCAGGAAAUAGUUCAUGAUUGCUAUCAGCUAAUAUCCCCUAGCUCUCCUAUUGCCUUUCUAAAGCUGCUGUUCCAUUCUCAGUGACAAGGAAUGGAUCUGCAACAAUGGAGUCCAUGCACACAGAAGAGGGCAAUAACAGUAGAGAGAAGAGUUCCUAGAUUCCAGCGUGUCCAGAUCUUGAGAGUUGCCAGUCACAUGACACUUGGUGUGUUGUUCAGUGGCCCACCUCUAGGCCUCUGUUUUCUUUUUUUUUUUCUUCUAUUUUUUUUUAAAGAAGAAUGUCAGGCCUUAUUUGAUGUCCAUGGGAUGGAGAGACACCCCUGUCCUGGAGACAUGUGGUUCUGGUUAGAGUCCAGGAAGAAAUGCUGCAUUCAGUCUCUGUGUACCAAUGAGAUGGAACCAACAGAGGAGAGGGGGAAAAAAGGAAGAAAAAAUUAGAGAAAAGAGACUAUGAAGGCGGUGAUGGGUCAAAGAUCCACGAGGUUAGAUGGGUGCAAAGUAGUUCCAUUAAUAUGCAUAUUCAUGAAAAAGAAUGAAAUGUAUGAUAUAUAUUUGUAUAUACAUAUAUAAAAAACCCACUUUCAACAAGUAACAAAUUUGGCUAACUUGUGUAGUACAUAUCUUGUACCUGCUACAAAUAUUUUCUUGUCUGUGAUACCUUUAAAUUGUGAAAUAGUCACUGUCUUUCUGCCGCAUUUUAUGUUCAUAUUGGCUAUAGCAUACCAUAAAAGCAACAUGCACACUGUGCUCUCUCUUCUUUCUUUCUUUCUCUUUCCUUCUUUUCUUCUUUCCUUCCCUAAAAUAAGUUACUUUACACUGACAGAUAAUAUAUUUAUUUCUAAGCAUGGGAACAUAAUAAGAGUUUUGGUAGUGAAAACUGAAUGUAAAAAAGAGCUCACAGAAAGCUAUAGAGGAGAGACCUUCUUUUUAAACAAAAUGUAGGAAAGGAAGAAAAAAAAGGCCGCUCCUGAAAACCUGGAAGGCUUCCAGUUCAAUGAAUAAGAAUUUCAAAUGUACAUUCAAAAAGCUCUUCAGUAUUUAUAUGCAAAUAGUAUCAAAGAAAGCAGUGGAAAAAAGUCUCCCUAACAUUGGCUGAAAAACAGGUAUUUUCAGUUCUGGAAGAUUUAUGUUUUCCAUAGGAACCAGAUGAGAUGAAAUAAAGACUUAACAGAAGUGAUUAAAUAGCA
Molecule: long non-coding RNA, 1266 nt
Filed under: Crocodylus porosus (Australian saltwater crocodile)
Lineage: Eukaryota; Metazoa; Chordata; Crocodylia; Crocodylidae
Description: lncRNA (ENSCPRG00005004940.1)
Source: RNAcentral